Molecule: long non-coding RNA, 713 nt
Filed under: Homo sapiens (human)
Lineage: Eukaryota; Metazoa; Chordata; Mammalia; Primates; Hominidae
Description: long intergenic non-protein coding RNA 2210 (ENSG00000290467.1)
Source: RNAcentral
GCCCCCACUUCUAGGCUUGGUUGAACCGUGCAGAUACCUUCUCGAAACAAAAGAUUUUCCUACCUGCUUAUACUUGGUAACCGAGGGAAUUUCUAAGACUUCUUGCUCAUUUCUGAGUAUUGUCUUUAUAUCCUGACACUAUGAAUGCUACUUGGAUGCCUCUUAAGGGUCUCUUCUGCAGGGUCCCCAUGAAUUGUGGCUGAAGUUGUGCACAAACAAGUAUCUCCAGUGACAGGAGUGCCUUCUGAGGCAGCCAUUGCAUCUUCAUCUGCUGACACUCUGCUAGGCUGACUUCUGUAGUUUUCACCACUGAUCUUCAGUCCACCUCACAGAGCUCUAUAAAACGCUUAAAUCCUCUUUACAUCAUAGACUUUCAGCUACUUGAAGAUAGCCAUCAGCCGCUACGUGACUCUUUUCUCCAGGUUGAAGAUUAUUCUCUCUUCUAAAGAAAAUAGAAGAAUAUUAGGAGAAAAGACACUUGAAAAUGUUCACUCUUUUAUUCACAUUACAUCAUCUGUCUUGAAUAAUGGGUCUAUCUCUUUCCUGUUGCUCUGGCCCUGAAAAAAAAAUUAGCUUUUUAAGGCUGCUUUUGUUACGUGUGCAUUUUCUUGUAAUCCCGUCAUUCUGGGAUUUAAUAAUAAUAGUAUUAAUACCACCUACCAUUUGUUGGUUACUUACUGUGUUUUAGGCACUGUGCUAAACGCCUUCCAUGU